UUUUUUCUAGGUUUUGGAAAAGAGUUGCGCGAUGUCUUCCAAUUCAUCUGAUGAUGAAUCUGAACGUUCGUCAUCUCCCAGCUUUCCUGAAUAUGAGAUAUGUAUGAGCGAGAAACUAGACGGUAUUUUGCCAUCGCAUGUUGUCAACAUUGAAACAAAUAUGGAAAUACGUUGUUUGUGUUAUUUUUCAUCAAUGAAAAGUUUCUUGUACAGUCACAGGAGCGAUGCACUAGGACUUAUCAGUGAAGAUUUUAAAUCUGAUGUGAAGAAAUUCAUGGACAUAAAAUU
This is a long non-coding RNA of Xenia sp. Carnegie-2017, 288 nucleotides long. RefSeq lists it as uncharacterized. Lineage: Eukaryota; Metazoa; Cnidaria; Anthozoa; Malacalcyonacea; Xeniidae. The record is from RefSeq and is a predicted model, not a curated record. The transcript is spliced from 2 exons.